Molecule: ribosomal RNA, 253 nt
Filed under: uncultured bacterium
Lineage: Bacteria
Description: partial 16S ribosomal RNA
Rfam family: Bacterial small subunit ribosomal RNA
Source: RNAcentral
GACGGAGGGUGCAAGCGUUGCCCGGAAUUACUGGGCGUAAAGGGCGCGUAGGCGGCCUACCAAGUCGGGUGUGAAAGCGCCGGGCUCAACGCUGCGAGGGGACUGGAUACGGUUAGACUUGAGGUGCGGAGAGGGGGGUGGAAUUCCGGGUGGAGCGGUGAAAUGCGUAGAGAUCCGGAGGAAUGCCGGUGGGGAAGCCGGCCCUCUGGGCGGGGACUGACGCUGAGGCGCGACCGCGUGGGGAGCAAACCGG